AUUGAACGCUGGCGGCAUGCCUUACACAUGCAAGUCGAACGGCAGCGCGGGAGCAAUCCUGGCGGCGAGUGGCGAACGGGUGAGUAAUAUAUCGGAACGUGCCCAGUAGUGGGGGAUAGCCCGGCGAAAGCCGGAUUAAUACCGCAUGAGACCUGAGGGUGAAAGCGGGGGAUCGCAAGACCUCGCGCUAUUGGAGCGGCCGAUAUCAGAUUAGCUAGUUGGUGGGGUAAAGGCCUACCAAGGCAACGAUCUGUAGUUGGUCUGAGAGGGCGACCAGCCACACUGGGACUGAGACACGGCCCAGACUCCUACGGGAGGCAGCAGUGGGGAAUUUUGGACAAUGGGCGCAAGCCUGAUCCAGCAAUGCCGCGUGC
RNAcentral lists this ribosomal RNA (374 nucleotides) under uncultured bacterium. Its description in RNAcentral is "bacterial SSU rRNA". It matches the Rfam family "Bacterial small subunit ribosomal RNA", at positions 29 to 404 of the family's 1533-position model. The record is from RNAcentral.